Molecule: long non-coding RNA, 2585 nt
Filed under: Capsicum annuum
Lineage: Eukaryota; Viridiplantae; Streptophyta; Magnoliopsida; Solanales; Solanaceae
Description: long non-coding RNA (CANN_LNC001139)
Source: RNAcentral
AUAACUUCAGCAAUACAGCGACUGCAACAACACAGCUUCAAUAACCCGACCCGAUAACCUAGCAACCAAACAAAGAAUACACAAUAGCAGCCAGCAAAAAUUGAUAAUCCAUCAACAAUAAUCAGCAACCCGUUCCAACAGUUCAACAACAGCAAAUCAACAACAAUUUCAACAGAAACACAACCCAACAACUCCAGCAAUCCAAACCCGCACCAGAAUCCCGCAAACCCAACCCGACUCGUCCAACUCAGCAACAACUAUAUCCGUUUCAAUUUUUUCAAAUUUUAAAUUUCAAAUUUGUAUCAAAACAGUAUAAUCCAGCUCACCCCUCAGUAAAAUCCCCAAAAUACUCCUAAAUUUCUACUCCCACAUCGUUAAUUAGUGAAGAUUUGAGAUUGUUGGGUUUCUGUAUAAACCCAUUUAUUCCAAUAUUCAAGAGGAGGGUUUUUCUUGAAUGAAGAAGGGGACUAAAAAUUCUCUACCCAGUUAGAAUUCGAACUUCGGUCCCCAACCUGGAGUUGUGAGAAUUUUGGUUCAAGUUUCGUGUUUUUUUGUUGUUCUCGAGUCAAGGAAAGAGGUGGUCGUCAACUCGUCGUUUCAGUUUGCUACACGGAAAAAGGUUAAAAUCUUUCUCUUUCGAUUUUCUUUUGUCCUAAUUAUUUCUGUAUUAGCGUUAUCAUAAUAAGUUACUGAGAUUGUUCGCUGUAGAAGCCUCGAAGGACAUAAAAUUUAUGUGCAAUGAAAAGUUGUUAUAGUUUUGCCUCAGUUAUUCGUUGCUUUUUCUUUUUUCUUAGCGUUUGAAUUUUGAUUAGAUUUUCUGAGUGAAUAGAGUUCUUUAUCAUGUUUGAAUGAAUGGCACAUAAUAUUAUGGUAUGAAUGAGUUUUCUCGGUUGAUAAUUCCUCGAGGACUUGUUUCUUAUGUCAAGACCUUUAAUGUCAAGUAGGAGAAGAUGAAGUCGUUAUGAUUUUCUCUUUAUUUUUUUGUUCGAGUUAAGGUCUGAGAUGCAGUAUUAUUGGUAUAAAUUUUAAGACGCAAAAAUAUAUGUCCCAAAUAAUAGUGUUAUUGGUAUUUCUUGAUUUCUUUUAAGCAACUCAUGUUGAUAAUAUUUUAUAUAGAGAUAAGCACUCCCACUUUGUCCCUAACUAUUGAGUAUUUCUAGAGUGAAUUUGUUGCAAGAGUUUGUUCGAACUUAACUAAAAGAAGCUGGUUUUCCUAUUUUUGAAAUUUAUAUGCAAGUCAUUAUUAAAUUGAAGUCCUAACUGUUUGAAUUUCCCAUUAUCUACAUGAGCGUACUAGGCCCGUAUUCAUCCAAUUACUGUAUGUGUACGAUUUCCCAUUUUUCAGUUUUCGACCUCAAAUUGUUGUUUAAUUUAGGUACUUCUUUGUUUUGUAUUUGACACGAAAAGUUAAUGUUGUGGAGUUUCCUACUGUUAUCUUAAUGACCAAUUGCACUGUUUUUGGUCUUCUCAACUUCAUUGGAAAAUCUGGAAGUGGUAGUAGAGGUCAAGAGAUGCAUAUGGGUUCUUGUUGCAAUUGUGCAUAUUAUAGAAUAUUAAAUGGUUUGCAUUUGUCUUGGAGUGGGGGAAUGAUUCAUAUGUUGUGAUUUUCAUUAUCAUCAAGAAUUAUAUCUUGUCUUUCAAUUUACGAUUCAGUUCUAAUUAAUCUUUGUUUCUUUGUUUGAAUGGAUUACCUUUGGUCCAAAUAUUGGACCUUUGCAUCUUCGUCGGAUCAAACCCAUCUCAUCGAGUCCGAGAUCCCAUGCCAAAGCCUCAAAACGGGACUGAUUGACAUGAAAAGUUCAUGUUGUGAAGUUUCCUACUGUUAUCUUAAUGACCAAUGACACUGUUUUUUGUCUUCUCAGUUUCCAUAGGAAAAUUUGGAAGUCGUAGUAGGGGUCAAUAGAUGUAUAUGGGUUCUUGUUGCAACCUGUGCAUAUUAGAGGAUAAUAAAUGGUUUGCAUUUGUCUUGGAGUGGUGGAAUGAUUCAUAUGUUGUGAUUUUCAUUAUCAUCAAGAAUUAUAUCUUGUCUUUCCAUUUAUGAUUCAGUUCUAAUUAAUCUUUUUUUCUUUGUAUGAAUGGAUUACCUUUGGUCCAAUAUUGGACCUUUUCUUUGCAUCUUCAUCGGAUCAAACCCAUCUCAUCGAGUCCGAGAUACCAUGCCAAAGCCCCAAACGAGACUGAUUUGCAGUCGUAUACACUGAAUAUACAACGGUAUACCAGUGAUAUACAGUGAUGGGAAAAGGAAGCAAGUAUGCAAAUUUGGGAAGUUAAUAUACAGGUUUUAUAGAUGUAUCCGCAGAAAAUGCAAGGAAAGGAGGCUGAUAUACAGUCGAUGUACUGUUGAUAUAUUGUCAGUAUAAAAUCAGAAAAAAUGAAUCCAAAGUCCAUGAAUGGGGCCCAGGGUUGUCCGGAUUUAAAGUGGGCUUGAAAGGGGCCGAAUAUCUUCUUUUCUUCCUUUAUUUUCUUGUAGUUAAUUUAAUUCUUUGGUUGUAAUUCAUUUAACCUAGAUGAAUCCUUGGGGGCAAAUUGUGUUGAAACUACUCAUUUAUGUUAGUCAGUUUAUAUUUUUAAUGUUUAAUUUCUCU